UACGGAGGGUGCAAGCGUUAUCCGGAUUCACUGGGUUUAAAGGGUGCGUAGGAGGGCAGGGAAGUCCGUGGUGAAAUCCUAGAGCUUAACUCUAGAACUGCCGUGGAUACUCUCUGUCUUGAAUCCCGUGGAGAUGAGCGGAAUAUGUCAUGUAGCGGUGAAAUGCUUAGAUAAUGACAUAGAACACCAAUUGCGAAGGCAGCUCGUUACACGAAGAUUGACUCUGAGGCACGAAAGCGUGGGGAUCAAACAGG
Molecule: ribosomal RNA, 254 nt
Filed under: uncultured bacterium
Lineage: Bacteria
Description: partial 16S ribosomal RNA
Rfam family: Bacterial small subunit ribosomal RNA
Source: RNAcentral